Molecule: ribosomal RNA, 441 nt
Filed under: uncultured bacterium
Lineage: Bacteria
Description: partial 16S ribosomal RNA
Rfam family: Bacterial small subunit ribosomal RNA
Source: RNAcentral
CCUACGGGAGGCAGCAGUGGGGAAUAUUGCACAAUGGGGGAAACCCUGAUGCAGCGACGCCGCGUGAGUGAAGAAGUAUUUCGGUAUGUAAAGCUCUAUCAGCAGGGAAGAAGCAAGACGGUACCUGACUAAGAAGCCCCGGCUAACUACGUGCCAGCAGCCGCGGUAAUACGUAGGGGGCAAGCGUUAUCCGGAUUUACUGGGUGUAAAGGGAGCGUAGACGGUAGUGCAAGUCUGAAGUGAAAGGCCAGGGCUUAACCCUGGGACGGCUUUGGAAACUGUUAGACUGGAGUGCUGGAGAGGAAAGUGGAAUUCCUAGUGGAGCGGUGAAAUGCGUAGAUAUUAGGAGGAACACCAGUGGCGAAGGCGGCUUACUGGACUGUAACUGACGUUGAGGCUCGAAAGCGUGGGGAGCAAACAGGAUUAGAUACCCUAGUAGUC